This 600-nucleotide ribosomal RNA is filed under the name uncultured bacterium. RNAcentral describes it as "bacterial SSU rRNA". It matches the Rfam family "Bacterial small subunit ribosomal RNA", at positions 75 to 673 of the family's 1533-position model. The record is from RNAcentral.
UUGCUCACGAAAGAAAAGGAGUGGCGAACGGGUGAGUAACACGUGGGUAACCUGGCCCAUCAGAAGGGGAUAACACUUGGAAACAGGUGCUAAUACCGUAUAACAAUCGAAACCGCAUGGUUUUGAUUUGAAAGGCGCUUUCGGGUGUCGCUGAUGGAUGGACCCGCGGUGCAUUACUAUUGGUGAGGUAACGGCUCACCAAGGCGUCACGGGUACCGGCUGAAGGGUGACCGGCCACACUGGGACUGAGACACGGCCCAGACUCCUACGGGAGGCAGCAGUGGGGAAUAUUGCACAAUGGGCGAAAGCCUGAUGCAGCAACGCCGCGUGAGGGACGACGGCCUUCGGGUUGUAAACCUCUUUUAGCAGGGGAAGAAGCGAAAGUGACGGUACCUGCAGAAAAAGCGCCGGCUAACUACGUGCCAGCAGCCGCGGUAAUACGUAAGGGCGCAAGCGUUAUCCGGAAUUAUUGGGCGUAAAGAGCUCGUAAGCGGUUUGUCGCGUCUGCUGUGAAACCCCGAGGUUCAAACCUCGGGGCCUUGCAAGUGGGUACGGGGCCAGACUAAAGUGCCGGGUAAGGGGAGAUUGGGGAAUUCCCUG